This 498-nucleotide ribosomal RNA is filed under the name uncultured bacterium. Its description in RNAcentral is "partial 16S ribosomal RNA". It matches the Rfam family "Bacterial small subunit ribosomal RNA", at positions 28 to 507 of the family's 1533-position model. The record is from RNAcentral.
GACGAACGCUGGCGGCGUGCCUAAUACAUGCAAGUCGAACGAGAGCGACCGGUGCUUGCACUGGUCAAUCUAGUGGCGAACGGGUGAGUAACACGUGGGUAACCUGCCCAUCAGAGGGGGAUAACAUCCGGAAACGGAUGCUAAAACCGCAUAGGUCUUCGAACCGCAUGGUUUGAAGAGGAAAAGGGGCGCAAGCUUCUGCUGAUGGAUGGACCCGCGGUGCAUUAGCUAGUUGGUGAGGUAACGGCUCACCAAGGCCGUGAUGCAUAGCCGACCUGAGAGGUUGAUCGGCCACAUUGGGACUGAGACACGGCCCAAACUCCUACGGGAGGCAGCAGUAGGGAAUCUUCCGCAAUGGACGCAAGUCUGACGGAGCAACGCCGCGUGAGUGAAGAAGGUUUUCGGAUCGUAAACCUCUGUUGUUAGAGAAGAACAAGUGCUAGAGUAACUGUUAGCGCCUUGACGGUAUCUAACCAGAAAGCCACGGCUAACUACGUG